This 1042-nucleotide unclassified non-coding RNA is filed under the name Zea mays. RNAcentral's name for it is "misc RNA Zm00001eb354050". The record is from RNAcentral. Lineage: Eukaryota; Viridiplantae; Streptophyta; Magnoliopsida; Poales; Poaceae.
UACUCCUACGGCGCCGCCCUUCGCGCCACCACAGCCAUGUGCGCCUCGCCGUGGUUCGACAAAUCCCCCGGCGACACACCAAUUGCCCGCUUCAGCUCUGUCGGCAUCUUCGACCCGAUCGCCCCUCGCCGCUGCCUGCUUUGCAACGCCGCCGCCUGCUCCGUUCCGACCGUUCGCCUUCAGCACGCAUCGGGCAGCGGCCAAGACGACAUCACCACCGCUAGAUGUCAUGCCGCCGUGCGCUGAGAGAAUGCGCGGUCCUACGGCGCUGCCAGCUCCGACCCGCGCGCCCCUCACCGCGGAUCGCAAGAUGCCCUUCGCGCCACCACAGCCAUGUGCGCCUCGCCGUGGUCCGACAAAUCCCUUGGCGACACAGCAAUUGCCCGCUUCGGCUCUGACGGCAUCUUCGACCCGAUCGGCCCUCGCCGCUGACUGCUUCGCAACGCCGCCGCCUGCUACGUUCGCCUUCAGCAGGCACUGUCGCGCAGCAGCCGAUAGGACAUCACCGCCGCUAGAUGCCAUGCCGCCGUGCGCCAAAAGAAUGCGGGGUCCUUCGGCGCUGCCAGCUCCGACCUGGGAGCCGCCACCACAGCCGUGCGCUCCUCUCGGUGGUUCGACGAAUCUCUCGACGAUACAGCCAUCGCCCGCUUCAGAUCAGCAAGCACUGUUAUCUCCCUCUCGGCCACAGCUGCUCGUCCAGCCGAAGGAGAGGAGGACAACAAUUCUUGAUCCAUUUGAAGCUGCCAUGCUGCGAGAGACAGCUGACGAAGACGACGACGACAUGGACGAGUUUGCUAAGGCCCUGGAAGAUAUGCUGUCAGCCGAAGCAAAGGAGCCUACGACGUAGUUCGACGAUGACGACUCUGCCAAGGCAAUCGAGGAUAUAAUAUAGAUCACAACGUUUAAAAGGAACUUCGAGUAUGGCUGCCUCAAGCUAGCCAUGAGCCCAUGACACUUAGGCAUCACAAGAGCUUCAAAGUUGUUUUAAACUAAUUUGGCAUGUUUGGGACUGCUCCAGUUCUAACUCCAGCGUUAACGUGUA